GUAGUAUUCCCUCCGUCCCAAAAUUCCUUGUCUUACAUUUGUUUAGAUACGGAUGUAUCUAACAUUAAAAUGUAACUAGAUACAUCCGUAUUUAGACAAAUUUAAGACAAGAAUUUUGGGACGGAGGGAGUACAAA
Molecule: non-coding RNA, 136 nt
Organism: Triticum aestivum (bread wheat)
Lineage: Eukaryota; Viridiplantae; Streptophyta; Magnoliopsida; Poales; Poaceae
Source: Rfam